UUUCAGACCUCAAAUAAUGCAAAGAAAACAAGUUCACAUUCAUUUAGAAACAACAAUACUAACGUUUUAACUCAGGAAGAGUUCAGAAAUCAAUAUUUGAUGGAAUAACUAUGAGGUUUUCAUUGGGAUUCAGUGCAGUGGGCUCUUAAUUUUUUUCCAGAGUUUUAUAUGCAAAUGUUUUUAAAACAUAAUUUUC
Long non-coding RNA from Xiphophorus couchianus (Monterrey platyfish), 196 nucleotides. RefSeq lists it as uncharacterized. The record is from RefSeq and is a predicted model, not a curated record. NCBI's taxonomy places the organism in Eukaryota, Metazoa, Chordata, Actinopteri, Cyprinodontiformes, Poeciliidae. The transcript is spliced from 3 exons.